This 414-nucleotide ribosomal RNA is filed under the name uncultured bacterium. Its description in RNAcentral is "partial 16S ribosomal RNA". It matches the Rfam family "Bacterial small subunit ribosomal RNA", at positions 361 to 774 of the family's 1533-position model. The record is from RNAcentral.
AUAUUGCGCAAUGGAGGGAACUCUGACGCAGCGACGCCGCGUGAGCGAUGAAGGUUUUCGGAUCGUAAAGCUCUGUCCUUGGGGAAGAAGGCUGCCCUUUAUGGUCACUUUACGGUACCCCAGGAGCAACCCCCGGCUAACUACGUGCCACCAGCCGCGGUAAUACGUAGGGGGCAAGCGUUGCCCGGAAUUAUUGGGCGUAAAGGGUGCGUAGGCGGCCUUUUAAGUCAGAUGUGAAAGACCACGGCUUAACCGUGGGGUUGCAUUUGAAACUGGAGGGCUUGAGUAUCGGAGAGGGUAGUGGAAUUCCCAGUGUAGCGGUGGAAUGCGUAGAUAUUGGGAGGAACACCAGUGGCGAAGGCGACUACCUGGACGAAAACUGACGCUGAGGCACGAAAGCGUGGGGAGCAAACA